GCGCUCCCUUCGGCAGCACAUAUACUAAAAUUGGAAUGAUACAGAGAUUAGCAUGGCCCCUGCGCAAGAAUGACACGCAAAUUCAUGAAGCAUUCCACAUAAAA
Small nuclear RNA from Zalophus californianus (California sea lion), 104 nucleotides. The record is from Ensembl. NCBI's taxonomy places the organism in Eukaryota, Metazoa, Chordata, Mammalia, Carnivora, Otariidae.